UGAGAGCAGAGUGUUGCUAAACUUACCAUGUGAUGGAUAUUUCUCCGUUUUGAUAUUGCACAGAAUGAAGAACAUAGCAGACAGAUGAAGUAGGCCUGGUGGUGCUCUGAGCAGAACAAAUCCUAAGGCCAGGUUAGACUAGCUUUGCACUGUUUCCCUCGUGUCUAGAUUUCUGAAGGAUGAGUCUUUUGAUUUGUUUCUAACCUGCUUAAAAGAGAUGGGGAGGCGGAGGAAGCAAGGAGCCGAGGUGCAGCCGGAUGCCUCCCAGGAUGAAUAAUGGCAACAAGAAACAGAGUUCUUAAAGCCCAGAUGAUAAGGGCCUCAGUCUGGGUGUGAAUGAACUUGGCCUGACUUCUUUGCUGCCGUCAUAUGAACCGGAAGGAGACAGCUUAGAUAGAGCAAGCCUGCUCCUUCCAGAAGCACGAGGGUCCUGUGGCGGUUUUUGCUUCAAACACCGCAGAACACAGAGCAAACCCCAUGACGCCGUCCUUCAACUAAACAGCCCAAAGCAGCAAACUAGAGGUUUCCAUUUUUAGUUUGCAAGGGGAACAACUGAGCUUUCAUGAGUUGGAAUUUGCUAACGUAAAUUGAGCCUUUGUAAGAGGGCUGAAAUUGACCCUGGAGACGGAAAGCACAGGAAAUAUUUGCUGUGGUCGGUGGGAGAGGACGCUCCGCAGACAAAGCCGCCUGCUUCUCCCGUCAGGCCUGCCUCCUCUCUAGGCAAAUAUUGGAGGGAUGACUUUUUUAUUUGCAGAGAGGAUUUGGCUAAUUUUGUUUUAUUUGUGUACCUUACAUUCAUGGAGCACUCUGCACAGUCUGUUGGAUAAUCUCUAAUUAUUCCUUUCCUCUUCACACCUGUGAGGCCGAUGCUCAGCAUAUUUCAGAGGAAGCUGGCACCAGGGAUGAGGGAAUCUGCCCAAGCAUGAGUCACCUGGAAUAUUAAACCAGAACCAACACACAAAUGAUCUGUGCAAAGAGGUAGCAGAACAAAUCCUAAGGCCAGGUUAGACUAGCUUUGCACUGUUUCCCUCGUGUCUAGAUUUCUGAAGGAUGAGUCUUUUGAUUUGUUUCUAACCUGCUUAAAAGAGAUGGGGAGGCGGAGGAAGCAAGGAGCCGAGGUGCAGCCGGAUGCCUCCCAGGAUGAAUAAUGGCAACAAGAAACAGAGUUCUUAAAGCCCAGAUGAUAAGGGCCUCAGUCUGGGUGUGAAUGAACUUGGCCUGACUUCUUUGCUGCCGUCAUAUGAACCGGAAGGAGACAGCUUAGAUAGAGCAAGCC
This 1276-nucleotide long non-coding RNA is filed under the name Homo sapiens (human). RNAcentral describes it as "non-protein coding lnc-NCK2-2:2". The record is from RNAcentral. Lineage: Eukaryota; Metazoa; Chordata; Mammalia; Primates; Hominidae.